GAAACCCUGUGGGAAGCAGGAGGGACCACCCUCCAAGGCUAAAUACUACCUAGUGACCGAUAGCGUAUAGUACCGUGAGGGAAAGGGGAAAAGAACCCCGGGAGGGGAGUGAAAUAGAACCUGAAACCCUGCACUUACAAGCUGUGGAAGCACAUUUCUUGUGUGACCGCGUACUUUUUGUAGAACGGGCCAACGAGUUACGUUAAGUAGCAAG
RNAcentral lists this ribosomal RNA (214 nucleotides) under Clostridioides difficile. Its description in RNAcentral is "partial 23S ribosomal RNA". It matches the Rfam family "Bacterial large subunit ribosomal RNA", at positions 428 to 644 of the family's 2925-position model. Lineage: Bacteria; Bacillati; Bacillota; Clostridia; Peptostreptococcales; Peptostreptococcaceae. The record is from RNAcentral.